UACAGAGGGGGCAAGCGUUGUUCGGAAUUACUGGGCGUAAAGGGCGCGUAGGCGGCCUGUUAAGUCGAACGUGAAAUCCCCGGGCUCAACCCGGGAACUGCGUCCGAUACUGGCAGGCUUGAAUUCGGGAGAGGGAUGUGGAAUUCCCGGUGUAGUGGUGAAAUGCGUAGAUAUCGGGAGGAACACCAGUGGCGAAGGCGACUUCCUGGCCUGUUCUUGACGCUGAGGCGCGAAAGCUAGGGUAGCAAACGGG
Molecule: ribosomal RNA, 253 nt
Filed under: uncultured bacterium
Lineage: Bacteria
Description: partial 16S ribosomal RNA
Rfam family: Bacterial small subunit ribosomal RNA
Source: RNAcentral